Long non-coding RNA from Rhincodon typus (whale shark), 280 nucleotides. RefSeq lists it as uncharacterized. Lineage: Eukaryota; Metazoa; Chordata; Chondrichthyes; Orectolobiformes; Rhincodontidae. The record is from RefSeq and is a predicted model, not a curated record. The transcript has 3 exons.
GGGACCAGCAGGAUUGAAAGGAAGCGAGGGUCCCAUCGGCCCAACUGGCCCCAUUGGAUCUGCCGGUGAACGAGGACCUGCUGGACCUGCUGGACCAAUUGGUCUUCCUGGUCGUCCCGGUCCUCAAGGGGGUCUUGGUCCUGCUGGAGAGAAGGGAGCUCCUGGGGAAAAAGGACCCCCGGGUCCAGCCGGUCGGGAUGGGGUGCAGGGACCAGUUGGUUUGCCUGGUCCUGCUGGGCCACAGGGACCUCCAGGAGAAGAUGGUGACAAGGUGAGCGAG